UACGUAGGGCGCAAGCGUUAUCCGGAAUUAUUGGGCGUAAAGAGCUCGUAGGCGGUUUGUCGCGUCUGCUGUGAAAGACCGGGGCUCAACUCCGGUUCUGCAGUGGGUACGGGCAGACUAGAGUGCAGUAGGGGAGACUGGAAUUCCUGGUGUAGCGGUGAAAUGCGCAGAUAUCAGGAGGAACACCGGUGGCGAAGGCGGGUCUCUGGGCCGUAACUGACGCUGAGGAGCGAAAGCGUGGGGAGCGAACAGG
Molecule: ribosomal RNA, 253 nt
Filed under: uncultured bacterium
Lineage: Bacteria
Description: partial 16S ribosomal RNA
Rfam family: Bacterial small subunit ribosomal RNA
Source: RNAcentral